GAGCAAAUAGCACAAAUGCACUAAUAGGGCUUUUGCUUGAUUUCUUAACAGCUUAAAGACAUGUGAUCCUGACACCUUCAAGAGAAUGCUUAAAGACAAGUGACGCCCACACGUUCAAGAGAAUGGCCAAGCGAGACAUGUACCCAUUUCCUACUGCGCACCUAACGCUGAAGAGAUUGUCAGCACUAUACCAGGUGUGAGAGGAGUCAGGCCGUCCUUAACAUCAUAGCUUAUAUCAUGCACACUCAGAUGAGAUGUACCUUCGUCGUUGUGCUCCCAAGCGCUUGGCCUUGGAUCACCACAUUUCCUUGAGGGCACUCAUCGCCCUAAUAUGUUUUUCCUGAUUGAUGAGAAAUCCUUGCACAGGAAGUGGGCUCAAAGACCGUCAAGUGCUGUAGGCCUAAUCCGUUUCUCUUCUCGUACCGACAGGCCUUGCGGUUGAUCUGCACGACAGCCAGCCAGCCAGUAUUUCUAGAGAUCAUAUUUCCGGACGGCAAUAGUACAUAACACUACAGGCGAAGGAAAGUCUUGCUGGUCAAAUUCAAAAUUCCUUUGAUCCUUAUCGUUCUGUUUAGGGCGUUCGUUGUGUUUGGAGAUUGCAUACUCAGUCCGGAC
Long non-coding RNA from Liolophura sinensis, 615 nucleotides. RefSeq lists it as uncharacterized. The transcript has 3 exons. The record is from RefSeq and is a predicted model, not a curated record. Lineage: Eukaryota; Metazoa; Mollusca; Polyplacophora; Chitonida; Chitonidae.